Long non-coding RNA from Rhinopithecus roxellana (golden snub-nosed monkey), 927 nucleotides. RefSeq lists it as uncharacterized. Lineage: Eukaryota; Metazoa; Chordata; Mammalia; Primates; Cercopithecidae. The transcript is spliced from 3 exons. The record is from RefSeq and is a predicted model, not a curated record.
GAUGUGACUCGUGAAGGAAGGAGACUGAACGCAGCCUGAGGUUGGGGGCUACGGUCCAGUACUCAAGGGGAGUCCUCUCUAGGGGGUUACCUUGGUUCUCCAGCUGGGACUGACUCAGGUAAUCCUAUUAUGAUGCUCAUUUAACAGAAGAAGAAACUAGGGAUCAGAGUGCUUCAGCAGAUCUUCUAAGGUCACAUAGCCAGAAAACAGUAAAGCCGUGCCAUGUGUUUAGCAGCAAAGACAGAGUCUCAAGAAACGAGUAUCUGACGCGUAAACAGAGCAUGUCUGAGGCUGCAGAUAAAUGAUGAACUGUUGGAACACUGAACCAAAUGGUGAAAAAAAUUUAAAAACACCUUCCAUCCGGUAAGACCGUAAACGUAAAUAAUAGCUUGUGGUAACAAUGGCUAGCGUGGACCACAGGUUGUACUAAGAGCUUUGCCAACAUCACUCUCAUUCAUCUUCAUCACAAUGAGCAGAAUCCCCAUUUUAUUUUAUUUUCUUGAGACAAGGGUCUCACUGUCUCACCCAGACUGGAGUGCAGUGGCACAAUCUCGGCUCACCACAACCUCCACCUCCCAGGCUCAAGCAAGAAUCCCCAUGUUAUAGCUGAGAAGGCUGAGCCUUCAAGAGGGCAUUUUGCCAAUGACCCUGCGGCUAAUACAUCACACAGCCAGCCCUGAAGCACAGCACCUUGCGACUCCCCUCCUGCGCUGCCUCUGGGUUGGUGGGUUAGGUUCCCUUCCCUGUUUGCUUUGAUGAGAGAGGCCCUUUAUCUGAGUAUGACAAAGCAAUCACUACUUCCCAGUCCCCUCAACAGUCCCUGGCGCUCUGUCCUUCUGGUCUCUUUCCUAACCAGCUCCUGGGUCCUGGGCAUUCCAUCCUCUUUCGAGCUCUGCUUUGUUCCCUGCUGGUCAGCUCUCUACUUCC